This is a non-coding RNA of Sander lucioperca (pikeperch), 439 nucleotides long. Lineage: Eukaryota; Metazoa; Chordata; Actinopteri; Perciformes; Percidae. The record is from the annotation of a RefSeq genome assembly.
CAUCAACAUGUUCUCUGUAGCUCUGAUACUGCUGCUGGCUGCUGGAUCCUGUGUGAACAGUAUUGAUCUCAUCCAGACAGACUCAAUGGUUGUGCAGCCUGGACAGUCUCUGACCAUCAGCUGUCAGGUCUCUGGUUAUUCUUUGACUGAUAACAGCUAUGCAACAGGUUGGGUCAGACAGAGUGAAGGAAAACCAAUGGACUGGAUAUCCCACCGGUUUGGUGGAGGUAGCUUUUACCAAAAUAAUGCUCUGAAGAACAAGUUCCUUUACCACACACACACGUCUACUAGCUCGGUGACAUUAACAGGAGUGAAUCUGCAGCCUGAGGACACAGCUGUGUAUUACUGUGUGCGUGUAAGCUACACAGUGAUACAAACCACCAACAGACCUGCACAAAUACCCAGCAACCAGCAAGACUCAACCACACACAUUUUGUAA